UACGUAGGGUGCGAGCGUUAAUCGGAAUUACUGGGCGUAAAGCGUGCGCAGGCGGUUUUGUAAGCCAGAUGUGAAAUCCCCGGGCUUAACCUGGGAAUGGCAUUUGGGACUGCAAGGCUCGAGUGCGGCAGAGGAGACUGGAAUUCCUGGUGUAGCAGUGAAAUGCGUAGAUAUCAGGAGGAACACCGAUGGCGAAGGCAGGUCUCUGGGACGGUACUGACGCUGAGACGCGAAAGCGUGGGGAGCAAACAGG
This 253-nucleotide ribosomal RNA is filed under the name uncultured bacterium. Its description in RNAcentral is "partial 16S ribosomal RNA". It matches the Rfam family "Bacterial small subunit ribosomal RNA", at positions 524 to 776 of the family's 1533-position model. The record is from RNAcentral.